Molecule: long non-coding RNA, 759 nt
Filed under: Marmota monax (woodchuck)
Lineage: Eukaryota; Metazoa; Chordata; Mammalia; Rodentia; Sciuridae
Source: RNAcentral
GUCCUUGAGCAAUAUUUCCUAAGUGUGUUCUCAGAAACAUGGAUCUGGUAUUUUAUAUACAAAAAAAAAAAGGUAUCCUGGUGUAUUAGGUAGGGUAAAGCAAGAUGUUGUAACAAGUACCCACAUUCCAGUGACUUAACACAAUAGGGGUUUAUUUUUGCCUCCUGUAAUAGUCCAUGUUGGUAGACAUUUCAUUUAUUUAUUUAUUUUGGUAUGGUGGUCCAGGCAUUCAGUUUCCUUCCAUCAUAAGUCUGCAUCACUCCCUAGGGCCUUGGACUCUUCUGUUUCCAGCUGGUGGAACUGCACAAUAGAGUGGAGAAUGCAUAUUUCUUCUCAAUUACCUUGACCUGGUUGUGACACACAUCAUUUAUGUUCACAUUUCUACACUCCAUUGGCCUGAACUAGGCACAUGACCUCACCUGUGUUUAAGGUGUGUGUAUGUUUGGGAAGGUAAAUUAGAAACAGUGUCUGUGUGGGCAGCUACAGGUAAGGAACUAGAUAAACAUUCCCAUUUGUAGUUGGCAGGAGUGGAAAUUAGGAUUGCCUGAAUGGAGGGCACUGUGGUAUUAUCUGUCAAAUUUUAAAAUAUACAUGUUGUUUGGCCUCAAAAUUUCUCUUCUAGCAAUUUUUCCUACAGAAUUAUUCACAGAUAUGUACAUAUAUAUGUUUUAAACUUAUAUUUAGCAAUACUGUGAUAAUAAAAGGUUAAAACAUUCUGAAUGUCCAUAAAAAUGCACUGGAUGAAUGUAGCAUUGUACC